AUUGAACGCUGGCGGCAGGCCUAACACAUGCAAGUCGAGUGGAUGAGAGGAGCUUGCUCCUCGAUUCAGCGGCGGACGGGUGAGUAAUGCCUAGGAAUCUGCCUAGUAGUGGGGGACAACGUUUCGAAAGGAACGCUAAUACCGCAUACGUCCUACGAGAGAAAGUGGGGGAUCUUCGGACCUCACGCUAUUAGAUGAGCCUAGGUCGGAUUAGCUAGUUGGUAGGGUAAAGGCCCACCAAGGCGACGAUCCGUAACUGGUCUGAGAGGAUGAUCAGUCACACUGGAACUGAGACACGGUCCAGACUCCUACGGGAGGCAGCAGUGGGGAAUAUUGGACAAUGGGCGAAAGCCUGAUCCAGCCAUGCCGCGUGUGUGAAGAAGGCCUUCGGGUCGUAAAGCACUUUAAGUUGGGAGGAAGGGCUCAUAGCGAAUACCUGUGAGUUUUAACGUUACCAACAGAAUAAGCACCGGCUAACUUCGUGCCAGCAGCCGCGGUAA
This 500-nucleotide ribosomal RNA is filed under the name uncultured bacterium. RNAcentral's name for it is "partial 16S ribosomal RNA". It matches the Rfam family "Bacterial small subunit ribosomal RNA", at positions 30 to 523 of the family's 1533-position model. The record is from RNAcentral.